CAGACUCAGAAUUUCUAAGUGAAAUCUCCUCCACCUUUGGCUGAUACUGGAGCCUCAGAAUCCUCACUGCUCAGCCAUGACCUUAGCCUCUGUCCUAGUGACUUUGAUGCUCUUCUCAAUGAGAGGAACAAGAGCACAAACAGUGACCCAGCCUGAAGAUCAGGUCACCAUACCUGAAAAGGACCCCCUGGAGUUGAAAUGUACUGCCUCAUAUACUGGUAGCCCUGCUUUCUUCUGGUAUGUUCAAUAUCCCAAAGGAAGCCUCCAGCUGCUCCUGAAAUAUCUCUCAGGAAACAGCGUGGUCAGAGGUAGCAAAGGUUUUGAAGCAGAAUUUAACAAGAGCAAUAAAUCCUUCAACCUGAAGAAACUAUCCAUUGAAGUGAGUGAUGUGGCUGUAUACUUCUGUGCUGUGAGUGACACAGUGACUUGA
Molecule: non-coding RNA, 430 nt
Organism: Dromiciops gliroides (monito del monte)
Lineage: Eukaryota; Metazoa; Chordata; Mammalia; Microbiotheria; Microbiotheriidae
Source: the annotation of a RefSeq genome assembly